UACGUAGGGUGCAAGCGUUAAUCGGAAUUACUGGGCGUAAAGCGUGCGCAGGCGGUUAUGCAAGACAGAUGUGAAAUCCCCGGGCUUAACCUGGGAACCGCAUUUGUGACUGCAUAGCUGGAGUACGGCAGAGGGGGAUGGAAUUCCGCGUGUAGCAGUGAAAUGCGUAGAUAUCUGGAGGAACACCGGUGGCGAAGGCGGCAUCCUGGACCAUUACUGACACUGAUAAGCGAAAGCCAGGGGAGCAAACGGG
Molecule: ribosomal RNA, 253 nt
Filed under: uncultured bacterium
Lineage: Bacteria
Description: partial 16S ribosomal RNA
Rfam family: Bacterial small subunit ribosomal RNA
Source: RNAcentral